Solanum pennellii is the source of this 2009-nucleotide long non-coding RNA. RefSeq lists it as uncharacterized. NCBI's taxonomy places the organism in Eukaryota, Viridiplantae, Streptophyta, Magnoliopsida, Solanales, Solanaceae. The record is from RefSeq and is a predicted model, not a curated record. The transcript is spliced from 8 exons.
UAAUUUUAAUAAAAUACAUAAAACAUUUGUUAGAAAAACAAGUUCUCUUUCUCAGAAGAACGUCUCAGCUGAAGACUUGAACAACUGAGGAACUGAAGUCGAGGAACAAUUAGGUCUUGCAGCUAGAAGGCGAUUUUAGCAAAGAAUAAAGGUUGUCACAUUAUUUAUCUAUGGUAGUGGUAUAGAUUAAUGUUAAAUAAAAAAAGGGACUUCUCUUUGUUGAGAGACAAGAUUAUGUCAUCCUCGAAGAAUGAAGAAUGUCCUUCUCAGGAUACAACAUAACGGAUUAAGGUUGCAGCCUUGUCUGCUGCAAAAGGUUUAAGUUGUGCUCAGGCUGAACGUGCUGCUACUGCUUCUGCCAGAUAUGCCAAUGCAUAUGGCAAAAAGGUCAUCGCUUCUUUGGUUCUCUCGUAAUGCCUACAGUCUCAUUUGGUUCUCCUUAAAUACCAUCGCAGCUUGAUCUAACACUUUGUUUUGGAGUACUACCCAAGGAAAUAACUAUGAGCACAAAUGGAUGGAGUGAUGCAGGGCAUGCUGUAAAUCAAGUGUAUGAUAUACUUUACGUGAUGGGCAUGACAAUAUUUUUGUCGUUGUGGAAGGUCAAGGUGGAAUACUUCCCAAUGUUACCAUUCUGCGUGAUGUUGGUGGAUAUCUCCCUAUAAUUUAUCAGGUGAUGAAAAAUCUCCAUUUACUCGACUUUUGUCACUAUUCUACAAGUCAAGAAUCAUUUGCUUUCAUGUCAUAUUGUUGGUUAGUUAAACAUCUCCAUAAUUUUCGUGUACUUGAAAUCUUGAGUAAGCUUACUUUUCACUAAUUUGUUAGGGAAAUGCUACAUGUGGUUAUUGUUAAUAAAGAGAAGAUAUUCCUCUUAGGUCCCAGAGGACGUUUGGAUAUCGACUCUAAUUUUGGAUUCAGAAAGAGCUUCUUCCCAUAGGGGAAAAGACAUUAUUGACCUCUUCGACAACCAACAGUGCAGCAAGUAAUGAUCAACAUAAUUUAAUCUGGUCCCACGGUGGUUUUCUCAUCGCAUAACAUACAAAUUUUGCUUGUACUUCAUAUGAUAGUAGAUCUGCUACAGUAGGAGCAUGUGGAUCAUCAUGUGUAUCAUGAAUCUUCACUGAAACCUUGCCUUCUUUUCUUUUUUCUUAUGCACUGUACCGAAGGAUUUGAAAUUCAAUAUGUAAAGUUGUACUUGAUUUUUGGUUGUCAGGAGAUCAUCUUACGAUCUAUCGCUAUGGUGCCCCAGAAUUUUGUGGAUAGUGUAUAAAGAGGAUUGGGCAUUGGGAUUGUUGCAUACAGCCCCCUAGGCCAGGGGUUUUUUUGUUGGAAGGAAUUCACAGAAAGCCUCCCUGUAGAAAGUCUGGUUGUACAAAGGGCUGUUAUGGAGUUAGCAAAUUCUUACGCAUGUAAUGGUCGUGGUGCUUUAAUGGAUUUUCCAUGUGUAGAUCUUCAACCACACUAAUGGACCCUUUCAAGUUGUAUGACCCAGUAGUAGGGUAUUCUGAAUAGGAUUGAUACAAAAGAGAGUGGAACACUGAGUUAGUUAUUCACUUAUAGUGUCAGAUGGUUACCUGAACUGCUCCUUGGACACACUGCAGACUGGCAAGCCUCAAUAUAAAGCGGCAUUGUAGAAGGAACUUGAUUUACUAGUUCGUGAUGAUGUCCAAUUGAUCAGUUUCAUUAGGAGGCUUGACCCACAAAAGGGUAUUGAUCUGAUUGUUGAGGCAGUGCCUUGGAUGAUCGUCCGAAGUGAAACGAGUAGGUGAAUGUCAAAAGAAAAAAGAUUUAUAAUUAUUCAGCCUUUCUUCACUAUUGUAGUAUUGUUGCCUUCUUAAUGGUUGAGGGUGGGUGGUGGAUUUGUUAGUUUCUAAAACAUUAAUUUUGCCUGUUAACUAUUCUUUUAUCAUCAUUUGAAAACAAUUGAGCUAUGUCCACGUGUAUAGAUUUAAUCACUUUCUAAUUAUUGUUUGUAUAAGAUUAUGUUAUUAUAUAUUGAAUAUAUGCAAUUC